Molecule: ribosomal RNA, 376 nt
Filed under: uncultured bacterium
Lineage: Bacteria
Description: bacterial SSU rRNA
Rfam family: Bacterial small subunit ribosomal RNA
Source: RNAcentral
UAAGACAGAGGGGGCAAGCGUUGCUCGGAAUUACUGGGCGUAAAGGGCGUGUAGGCGGGACGGUAAGUCGGUUGUGAAAGCCUCCAGCUCAACUGGAGAACGACGAUCGAAACUGCCGUUCUUGAGGGUAGCAGAGGAGAUUGGAAUUCCCGGUGUAGCGGUGAAAUGUGUAGAGAUCGGGAAGAACACCGGUGGCGAAGGCGGGUCUCUGGGCUACUCCUGACGCUGAGGCGCGAAAGCGUGGGGAGCAAACGGGAUUAGAUACCCCGGUAGUCCACGCCGUAAACGAUGAGCACUAGGUGUGGGGGGGUCAGUCCUCUCCGUGCCGCAGCUAACGCGUUAAGUGCUCCGCCUGGGGAGUACGGCCGCAAGGUUG